This 242-nucleotide ribosomal RNA is filed under the name uncultured bacterium. RNAcentral's name for it is "partial 16S ribosomal RNA". It matches the Rfam family "Bacterial small subunit ribosomal RNA", at positions 524 to 765 of the family's 1533-position model. The record is from RNAcentral.
UACGUAGGGUGCGAGCGUUAAUCGGAAUUACUGGGCGUAAAGCGUGCGCAGGCGGUUAUGUAAGACAGUUGUGAAAUCCCCGGGCUCAACCUGGGAAUUGCAUCUGUGACUGCAUAGCUAGAGUACGGUAGAGGGGGAUGGAAUUCCGCGUGUAGCAGUGAAAUGCGUAGAUAUGCGGAGGAACACCGAUGGCGAAGGCAAUCCCCUGGACCUGUACUGACGCUCAUGCACGAAAGCGUGGG